UCCAAUAAUAAGGGGAUGAAUAAAGCUCAACACGUCUACAUAUCUCCGUGACUAUAUCUACAGGUUAGGUUUCAUGAACUGUUUUGUAUCAUGGUACACAUGGAUGGUAGUCAAAUGUAUUCACACUCGUGAAAGGGAAUGACACCAAGGCAGUUGACCAUCAUCAUGUGCCGUAUACUGUCUCAGUGAAACCCACCAUGCAAACAGGGAUAGGUUAGUCA
Paramuricea clavata is the source of this 221-nucleotide non-coding RNA. The record is from the annotation of a GenBank genome assembly. Lineage: Eukaryota; Metazoa; Cnidaria; Anthozoa; Malacalcyonacea; Plexauridae.